Molecule: ribosomal RNA, 400 nt
Filed under: uncultured bacterium
Lineage: Bacteria
Description: bacterial SSU rRNA
Rfam family: Bacterial small subunit ribosomal RNA
Source: RNAcentral
UGGGGAAUAUUUGGCAAUGAGCGAAAGCUUGACCAAGCGAUGCCGUGUGGAGGAUGAAUGCCUUAGGGUUGUAAACUCCUUUUCUUGUUGAAGAAGUUCUGACGGUAUACAAGGAAUAAGCAUCGGCUAACCCUGUGCCAGCAGCCGCGGUAAUACAGGGGAUGCAAGCGUUGUCCGGAAUUAUUGGGCGUAAAGCGUCUGUAGAUGGUUUAUUAAGUUUUUUGUUAAAUGUCAGAGCUUAACUUUGGAAUUGCAUUAAAUACUGGUAAACUUGAGUACAAUAGAGGUAAAGGGAAUUUCCAGUGUAGCGGUGAAAUGCGUAGAUAUUGGAAAGAACACCAACGGCGAAGGCACUUUACUGGGUUGAUACUGACAUUGAGAGACGAUAGCUAGGGGAGCA